AGCACACUGAAGCUGUUUCCUCAUACUAUUUGACUAUUUCUGAGAAAAUUAUUUCUUUUUAGUUGGAUUGCUGUGGAAUAGCUGGUACAAUUGAGAUAAUUAUUCGACCCACCUGCCCAAGUACCUCCAUUGAAGGAGAGCUUAAGAGACAGUCAUGCAUAACUGCAAUUAAAGACGUAUUCGACAGAAAGGUUUAUAUCAUCGGAGCAAUUGGGAUUGGCAUUGGAAUUAUAAUGAUUUUUGGUAUGAUCUUCAGCAUGGUGCUGUGCUGUGCCAUUCGCAACAGCAAAGAGAUGAUUUAAAGAGAAAGUUGAAACAAUAAUGCCAUUCAGUAAUGGAAUGCAUUUUUGCCUAAUAUUUGCUUCUUGUUAACAGCUUAACUUCAGCAUUUAAUUAUUUUUCCUUUUUUGUAUUCAGUUUAAAAGCUAACUUUUUUAAAAAAAAAGACUCACUAUCUGUUUAAUGUACCCACAACAUUUUGGUUUUGUUUAACAAGUUAAAUAUCAGUGUGUACUUGGAAAUGAAGUUUUCUUUAAGGUUAUCAUAAAUUUAAAGCUAUAUAUUUGUCUUAUCUGUUUAAUUUGGAAAUGUUUGUUCUUGAAUGGUUGCAAACCUUGGAUUCAGAAUUUAAAAUGUUGAACUAGUUAAGCUAAAUAGGUAUUACAAAUAUUAGAUGUUUUCCAAAUUGUGAUGGUUCAAAUGAGCACAUGCUAUUGUGGAAUCUUCACCUUAUCAAUAAAUCCUUGAAGGUAUUUUGAUUAUUUUAAAGUCACAAACUGUAGAUACCAGAUUUGCCUUUUUUCUUUGAGAAAAUAAAGUUUAAACUUGAACCUCCA
Rhincodon typus (whale shark) is the source of this 836-nucleotide long non-coding RNA. RefSeq lists it as uncharacterized. The transcript has 3 exons. Lineage: Eukaryota; Metazoa; Chordata; Chondrichthyes; Orectolobiformes; Rhincodontidae. The record is from RefSeq and is a predicted model, not a curated record.